AAAAAAACUCACAUUUCCACCGCACCGAGCACGUUGUUCAGACUUGUCUCUCACAACAGAGUUGAGAGUGAACACUGAACAGUGCAGUGUUGAGUGUUGAGUGUUGAGUGUUGAGUGUUGAGUUUCUCUCUCACUCUCAGCUUCUAAGGUUCCAUCGCUAUUCUGAACAAUCGAACAUUGUGGAUUCAAUCAGCUACUUGCAGCAGGUUAGGGUUUCGAAUCUGUUUCUCUCGUAGCAUGAAGAACCAUACUCAGACUCUCCCUCUCGAUUUGAUAGAGCUAAUUCUCCUGAAAUUGCCGGUGAAAUCUGUUACGCGUUUCAAGUGUGUCUGUAAAUCAUGGCUCUCUCUGAUUUCCGACCCCCAAUUUGGCUUUUCCCAUUUUGACCUAGCUCUCGCUGUACCCUCUCAUCGACUCCUUCUCAGAUCAAAUGAAUUCUCCGUUCAUUCCAUUGAUAUGGAUUUCGGUGCAGUACAUUUCACUCUCCCUCCUCCAUCUCCCCCACUUGCCGAUUAUGCAUCUUUGUUUACUCCUGCUUUUCAUCAACAUUGGAUUGAUUUUCAUAGAAAACAUUGGAUGUUGGGCUCAUGCAGAGGCCUCGUACUUUUAAACUACCGGAAUAGCAGUGAACUCGUUCUAUGGAAUCCAUCAAUUGGUGUAUACAAACGGUUACCUUUCUCUGACGAAUAUGACUUAAUCAAUGGAUACCUAUAUGGUUUUGGCUAUGACAUAUCAACAGAUGACUACUUGCUUAUUCUGAUUUGUUUAGGUGCAUAUGCUCUAUUUUUCUCCUUCAAAACCAAUUCCUGGAGCAGAGUCGAUCUUCAUGCUCGAUAUGUGGAUCCUGACAGUGAAUUCCAAGCUGGGACUCUCUUCAGUGGGGCUUUUCAUUGGUUGGUUUUCUCUAACUGUAUUGUUGAACAUGAUGAUCUUCCUUUCUCUUUUGAAGAAUAUGUACCUUUCAUCAUUGCCUUUGAUCUCACACAAAGGAGUUUUACGGAGAUUCCUCUCUUUGAUCAUUUUACUGAGGAAAAACUUGAAAUUUAUAGUCUGAGGGUAAUGGGAGGAUGUCUCUGUGUGUGUUGCUCCGUCCAAGGAAGUGAAAUGACCGAGAUAUGGGUGAUGAAUGAAUAUAAAGUGCAUUCAUCUUGGACUAAGACCAUUGUUAUCCCUAUUUCUAAUCGCUUUUCCCCAAUAUUCAUCACUAAAGAAGGUGGAAUUUUCGGAUCAAAUAGCACUGGAAUGUUAGAGAAGCGUAAUGGCAAAGGGGAGCUGCUUGAGCAUUUCAUUGAUAAUGAAUGUCAAGGUUUCAACUGUGCCAAUCUACAGUCUGCUUUGUAUACAGAGAGUCUACUGCCACUCCCAGUGUCAUUGGUGGGACCAAGUGCAGAUGACCAACAGUAAUAGGCAACAAAAAUUGGGUGCAUGGAAUUUUGGAAAGAUGAGGUUUGGUGGUGCUUGCUGGAUUCAAUUUACCUAGCUAAUAGUACUUAUUUCUAGUUUUUAAAUUAAAUGGUUCGUGAGAUUGGAUGCAGAGAUGGGGUAUGGUCAUGGUGGAUUCAGUUUACUUAGUAAAAUAAUUCAUGUCUUCCUUACUCAGAAGCCACAGUCAUCAAAGACCAAGAAAUAUGCAAGAAUAUUGAAGCUGCUAGUAGAAAGCAUAGGCACUUGGAAAAGAAUGGCAUACAUAUGCUAUUAAAUUAUCUAUUGUUAGUGUGGAACAAGUGUCAGUUUUAAUGGUUAUUUCAGUAAAGUUGGAUUCAAAGUAAGACUUGGCAAAUCCUAAUUGGUGUAAUACAUACUAUUUAAUGCCUUAACCUUUUUCCCUCUUAAUCUCAUUAUAUUUUGCAGC
This is an RNA transcript of Glycine soja, 1852 nucleotides long. It is a transcript of the gene named F-box/kelch-repeat protein At3g06240-like, with no coding region annotated. NCBI's taxonomy places the organism in Eukaryota, Viridiplantae, Streptophyta, Magnoliopsida, Fabales, Fabaceae. The transcript has 3 exons. The record is from RefSeq and is a predicted model, not a curated record.